GGGUGAGGUAGUAGGUUGUAUAGUUUGGGGCUCCGCCCUCCUAUGGGAUAACUAUACAAUCUACUGUCUUUCCU
This is a microRNA precursor of Aotus nancymaae (Ma's night monkey), 74 nucleotides long. NCBI's taxonomy places the organism in Eukaryota, Metazoa, Chordata, Mammalia, Primates, Aotidae. The record is from Ensembl.